Long non-coding RNA from Larimichthys crocea (large yellow croaker), 291 nucleotides. RefSeq lists it as uncharacterized. The transcript has 3 exons. The record is from RefSeq and is a predicted model, not a curated record. Lineage: Eukaryota; Metazoa; Chordata; Actinopteri; Sciaenidae.
CUUGACCUCACCGCGGUGUGACAACAAUGCUAACUUGUUCAUGUCCAGGUGGUGCAGAUGGUGUGACGGGAUCAAACACUGUGCAGGGGCUGAUGGGACUGGAGGCAGACGGUACACCCUGGCCGGGCAUCGGCUACGGCAAGCACACCACAUAUGGCUGAGACACUCUGGUUCAUUUAGUCUGCCAGCUGACUUUACAAGGAGCAAUGACAGAACGCCAAGCUGUUAAUUCUACCCAGACGACAAUGGGUGCGACCUGCUUUCCCCGAUUUGUCAAGUGGACGCCACAGA